AAUCUCGACAGCGCAUUUCGGGAGCCACGGCUCCGGGCGCUUUGCUGGGGGCUAAAGGGGUUUAUCCCUUUCCUUGAAUCCCAGCAGGCUAGAACUACCCCCUCCCAGUCUUCAGGCUUGCCACGCUCUCCACCCGAUCCUUCCAUUGAAAGGCAGAGAAGGAAGGAUGUGCUUGGGAACUUUAAGACCCACGAACGACAGCGCACUGAUGGAGCAGCCCAGUGUCUGGGGCAAAGUCCUCGAGGUUCAUUCAUUCAGGAAGCCUCUGACCAGCCUUUACCAUGCGCUGAGUGAGAAGCUGAGGAUAAGGAAAGAGCAAGACCCCCAAGAAACCCUGAUGUCUGGCUGAAAGCCGAAGCAUGACGCAACUUUGCUAUAUUUCUCUCCAACAAGGAUUUGUAUAUUUUCGCUUUCUCCUCAAGUAACACCUGGACCUGCUCCUUUCCCUUCAAACGCUGAGGGCUCAGUCUCCAAGUUCCUUUAUGAAACAGGGUGUACCAUCAGAGACGCAGGUAUUUAUUGAAACCUGCUUUGUGCUGGGCAAUGUGCCAGAUGUUGGGGAUAAAAUGGAGACUUCAGAAAUGAAGAUGCAAAGACAACAGGGGAAACCAUAUAUGUUUAUGGACAGUCAUGCCAAAGUAUGAUUGGAAGACAAAAAGGAAAAACACACAUUGUAAAAUAAGAAUUCUUCAAAGACAACUUGAAGACAUCUGGGAAUUCUGAAGCCUGAAAAUUCCAUGAGUUCAUAGCAGUGUUCACUAAUUCCACUGAUCUAAAGACAAAAAGGAGAGUCAACUGCGUGCCCAAACUCAUUUCUGAUGAUUUCUUCCAUCCUAACUUUUCUGCCUCUCUGGGGGUGGUUAUGCCUGUGAAAAACAUUGAAGCUGUCAGGAACAGAGUCGGCUUUCAAGAUUGGAAUGUCAAAGUAGAGUCUUCUUUUCCUCAGACCAGAAGGGGCUUGGUUGGGUAAGAGUUUCCAGAUCUAAAUGGAGACAGGACUGGGAUAUAGGAGCUUGUACGGAUAAACAACACAAACACCUUGGGUAUCAGCCCAAGAAAAAUAAAAAACAUAUGUCUGCUACACAGACUGCUUGUCUACCUAUGUAUCAACACUUGUUGAACAUAAUGUGAAUGAAUCUCAAAAAUAUUUUGCUGAGUAAAAGUGCCCAAUCCCCAAAAACUACACAUCAUAUGACUCAAUUUGUUUGAAGAUCUAAAACAGAUUUUAUGGUGUUAUUAUUGAGAUUCAUAUAAUACAGCCUAUUCAAUUGGACAAUUGGAAUAUUGUUAUACACAGUUAAUCAACAGACUCUGUAUAAGUGAUAAGGCCUCAGAGAAGAAGAAUAUUAGAGCUCAACUCCAGCACGAUGAGUCGUUAACACCCUUGGGAAUGUAUAGCUGUUAAACAAAACAAGGAGACCAUAUUGCCCUGUGAAUUCAAAGGGAUCUAAUGGGAAUUUCAGAGUAAAUUUAUUUUAAGGUAUGUAGGAAGCCUAAUCAUUUAAAGUGCUUUUUCUAUUCCGAAGCAACUCAUCCCACCACAUCUUUUCAUU
Molecule: long non-coding RNA, 1553 nt
Filed under: Homo sapiens (human)
Lineage: Eukaryota; Metazoa; Chordata; Mammalia; Primates; Hominidae
Description: non-protein coding ADAMTS9-AS2:19
Source: RNAcentral